CCUACGGGUGACAGCAGUGAGGAAUAUUGGUCAAUGGGCGCGAGCCUGAACCAGCCAAGUAGCGUGAAGGAUGACUGCCCUAUGGGUUGUAAACUUCUUUUAUAUGGGAAUAAAGUGCAGUAUGUAUACUGCUUUGUAUGUACCUUAUGAAUAAGGAUCGGCUAACUCCGUGCCAGCAGCCGCGGUAAUACGGAGGAUCCGAGCGUUAUCCGGAUUUAUUGGGUUUAAAGGGAGCGUAGGUGGGUUGUUAAGUCAGUUGUGAAAGUUUGCGGCUCAACCGUAAAAUUGCAAUUGAUACUGGGAGUCUUGAGUACAGUUGAGGUAGGCGGAAUUCGUGGUGUAGCGGUGAAAUGCUUAGAUAUCACGAAGAACCCCGAUUGCGAAGGCAGCUUACUAAACUGUGACUGACAUUGAUGCUCGAAAGUGUGGGUAUCAAACAGGAUUAGAUACCCUAGUAGUC
Molecule: ribosomal RNA, 460 nt
Filed under: uncultured bacterium
Lineage: Bacteria
Description: partial 16S ribosomal RNA
Rfam family: Bacterial small subunit ribosomal RNA
Source: RNAcentral